CACCGAGAGAGGCGCUGGCCAUUUAGCGGAUGGCGCAAAGAUGCCUUUCAUUUUGAGCCACGGGCCCCCUCCCCAAGCCCGUCGCCACAAGCCCUCACGCCUCCUGGAGCAACGUCGCGGCGCGCCAUGGCCGCCUCGGCGUGCAGAUGCGCACCGAGGAGGGCGAGGCCAAGACUACAAAACGGCGCCAUCGAUGGCUUUACACCCCAGAGGCUCUCUUUUCGCCUCGCACCAUCUAUGCCACCUACCUCGCGGACUUCGAUAAGCUGCCACAGAUGCCGUCCGCCCCCCUGUCGCUGGCGCCAUCAGCGCAAGGGCCUCCUGUCGCUAUCGUUGGCACAGAAAAGCCCGCUGCAUCGCCCAGCAUCGUUGUCAAGAGCACGACUAGAGAUGUCUGCACCCGCCCACCCACACACCCGCAGGCGGCGUGUCACCGUCGCACUCCGAACGGUGCAAAGAGAAAAUGUGUGUUUUUUGUUGUAGGCUCUCGAGUUCGCCGAUGCCCACGGUCUCCCACUAUGGCCACUUCAUCAUGUCAAGCGCGGCCACGGAUCCAGAGAGGCGGCACCCCACCAGGCACAGGCGCACACGUUGGAAAGUCCUGAGUGCAGUGUGCCGUGUCCCUGUCUGCGUGCGCGUCGCCCACGCUCCUUCGAAGCAAGAGGAAGAAGGGUGUAUGCCAAGCGAGCGCGUGUGCGCCAAACACUUUCAUGCCCGCUUACCUCUUCUCUUCGUCCUCGGCCUUUCCUCGGCCUCUUCAACUCUCGCGCCGCACUGCCACUUCUCCCACCAACAUCUUCAG
This 802-nucleotide unclassified non-coding RNA is filed under the name Leishmania donovani. Its description in RNAcentral is "gene:unknown". The record is from RNAcentral. Lineage: Eukaryota; Euglenozoa; Kinetoplastea; Trypanosomatida; Trypanosomatidae.